AGAGUUUGAUCCUGGCUCAGGACGAACGCUGGCGGCGCGCCUAACACAUGCAAGUCGAACGAGCGAGAGAGAGCUUGCUUUCUCAAGCGAGUGGCGAACGGGUGAGUAACGCGUGAGGAACCUGCCUCAAAGAGGGGGACAACAGUUGGAAACGACUGCUAAUACCGCAUAAGCGCACAAUACCGCAUGGUACCGUGUGAAAAACUCCGGUGGUAUGAGAUGGACCCGCGUCUGAUUAGCUAGUUGGUGGGGUAACAGCCUACCAAGGCGACGAUCAGUAGCCGACCUGAGAGGGUGACCGGCCACAUUGGGACUGAGACACGGCCCAAACUCCUACGGGAGGCAGCAGUGGGGAAUAUUGCACAAUGGGGGAAACCCUGAUGCAGCGACGCCGCGUGAGCGAAGAAGUAUUUCGGUAUGUAAAGCUCUAUCAGCAGGGAAGAAAAAAUGACGGUACCUGACUAAGAAGCUCCGGCUAACUACGUGCCAGCAGCCGCGGUAAUACGUAGGGAGCGAGCGUUAUCCGGAUUCAUUGGGCGUAAAGCGCGCGUAGGCGGCCCGUCAAGCGGGGUUUCAAAUCCAGGGGCUCAACCUCUGGCCGGACCCCGAACUGGCGGGCUCGAGUGCGGUAGAGGAAGGUGGAAUUCCCAGUGUAGCGGUGAAAUGCGCAGAUAUUGGGAAGAACACCGAUGGCGAAGGCAGCCUUCUGGGCCGCCACUGACGCUGAGGCGCGAAAGCUAGGGGAGCGAACAGGAUUAGAUACCCUGGUAGUCCUAGCCGUAAACGAUGGGCACUAGGUGUGGGGGAGCAUCUCCUCCGUGCCGCAGCCAACGCAUUAAGUGCCCCGCCUGGGGAGUACGGCCGCAAGGCUAAAACUCAAAGGAAUUGACGGGGGCCCGCACAAGCAGCGGAGCAUGUGGCUUAAUUCGAAGCAACGCGAAGAACCUUACCAAGUCUUGACAUCCUUCUGACCGGUACUUAACCGUAUCUUCUCUUCGGAGCAGGAGUGACAGGUGGUGCAUGGUUGUCGUCAGCUCGUGUCGUGAGAUGUUGGGUUAAGUCCCGCAACGAGCGCAACCCUUAUCUUUAGUAGCCAGCGGUUUGGCCGGGCACUCUAGAGAGACUGCCAGGGAUAACCUGGAGGAAGGCGGGGAUGACGUCAAAUCAUCAUGCCCCUUAUGACUUGGGCUACACACGUGCUACAAUGGCGUAAACAAAGGGAAGCAAAGCUGUGAAGCCGAGCAAAUCUCAAAAAUAACGUCUCAGUUCGGACUGUAGUCUGCAACCCGACUACACGAAGCUGGAAUCGCUAGUAAUCGCAGAUCAGAAUGCUGCGGUGAAUACGUUCCCGGGUCUUGCACACACCGCCCGUCA
RNAcentral lists this ribosomal RNA (1374 nucleotides) under uncultured bacterium. Its description in RNAcentral is "partial 16S ribosomal RNA". It matches the Rfam family "Bacterial small subunit ribosomal RNA". The record is from RNAcentral.